Papaver somniferum (opium poppy) is the source of this 1237-nucleotide long non-coding RNA. RefSeq lists it as uncharacterized. The transcript is spliced from 6 exons. Lineage: Eukaryota; Viridiplantae; Streptophyta; Magnoliopsida; Ranunculales; Papaveraceae. The record is from RefSeq and is a predicted model, not a curated record.
UCGUGGCUUGUAAACCUAGCAGAAGACCACGAUCCCUAUCUCUGAUGAGAUAACUCCCCAGUUCAUCCAGUUCCUCCCACCUCCCUUAACUCUCCUCUUUCUUCGAUUACGGUUGCUAUAACAACAAUCGAUGCUUUGAAACCGUAUACACAGAAAAGACAAUAUUUCAAAUUUGGAAGAAGGAAAUCCAUCAAUGUCUUCGUUCUCUGCAAGACAUCAUCGAUUUUAUCUGCACAAGUUGGUCUUCUUGGAUUCCACUCAUUCUUUUAAGUGGUUGUGGUUGCUGCUACUUUGUUGCUGUACAUUCAAGGGAUAGUUUUGGUUUCUCGGUUCUGAAUUAUAACAUUCUCUACAAGGAAUAUGGAUGACAACCCACAACCUCCGGCAAAAAAGAAACUAUACAGGCGACGCUAAGUUGAACUUUCUUACUUUAAAUUUGCAUAUUAUUAAUUGCAGGCUCAAAUGGAAGCCUUAUAUUUAGAAGAGAAUGGUCCAGAUAAUGAUGUUUCAAUCUUGGAGGUCACUUCAUAUGACCAGCUGAAAGGAGACAAGUAUUCUAAGAUCACGGGAGCUGAGAAUCCAGGUCGGAUUCGUUCUGUUGGUUCAGCAAUUAGAGGAACCAAGCUUAGGGGGGAUCUUCUUCAAAUGUUGGCCAAAACGACGAGGAAAAUGCUGCAUUAAGAGAUGGAAUUAAGAAACUGAAGGAGGAUCAGGUUGAUAUGCUGAACGACAUGAAAGAAGAACGUCUUCAUAUGGAGAAAACUGUAGAGCAUAUGAAAAAGGCUAACGAGGAAUAACCGAAAAAUAGAUGCCCUAUUGCUACUAUUUGCUGGUCGGGUAUGUAUGAGCAUAUCCAUAAAUAGGUUUUGCAGUGUAUUAUCUAGAAUCAUAAGCUUUCUUUAUUGCAUUUUGUUUUGUAGAGCGACCUCCCACAUUCAGAGCCAUAGAAAUAUGAUCUUACUACACGAAUCCAAGGUUAAUUUCAUUGAAAGAUAUUAUGUUCUAGGCAGUGUUGGAAGAUGUAUGAUAAUUAACUUCGGAAGUAAGAAAUCCAUCUGUCAUAAUUGAAGUAUUUUGUUUUCGCAUAUUCACUUUAAAUUCUGCUUGUAUCCGACUCUGAAUGGUUUAGUAUUAAGUUUUUAUUUGCUUUUGUUGAAUGUAAUCAAUCAGACAAUUUUAUUUGCUUUUAUUGAAUGUAAUCAAUCAGACAACCAUGUAGUACUUGUGUUUUUUUUCC